CGCACAUUGCGCCCCCUGGCAUUCCGGGGGGCAUGCCUGUUCGAGCGUCAUUUACCCCCCUCAAGCACUGCUUGGUGUUGGGCGUCUGUCCCGCCGCACGCGCGCGGACUCGCCCCAAAAUCAUUGGCAGCGGUCGUGCCAGCCCCUUGCGCAGCAGUUUGCGGUCUCGGCGGCUCGGUCGGCGGCUCGCGUCCACGGAAAGGAGGCUUAUGCCCACCCUUUUGACCUCGGAUCAGGUAGGGAUACCCGCUGAACUUAA
RNAcentral lists this unclassified non-coding RNA (259 nucleotides) under fungal sp. Its description in RNAcentral is "partial contains 5.8S ribosomal RNA, internal transcribed spacer 2, and large subunit ribosomal RNA". Lineage: Eukaryota; Fungi. The record is from RNAcentral.